UGGGUUGUGGCUCAGUGAUAGAGCGCUUGCCUAGCAUGUGCAAGGCCCUGGGUUCAAUCCUCAGCACCACAU
RNAcentral lists this transfer RNA (72 nucleotides) under Ictidomys tridecemlineatus (thirteen-lined ground squirrel). RNAcentral's name for it is "Spermophilus tridecemlineatus (thirteen-lined ground squirrel) tRNA". It matches the Rfam family "tRNA". From Rfam's summary of the family: Transfer RNA (tRNA) molecules are approximately 80 nucleotides in length. Their secondary structure includes four short double-helical elements and three loops (D, anti-codon, and T loops). Lineage: Eukaryota; Metazoa; Chordata; Mammalia; Rodentia; Sciuridae. The record is from Rfam by way of RNAcentral.